This 2380-nucleotide long non-coding RNA is filed under the name Olea europaea subsp. europaea. Lineage: Eukaryota; Viridiplantae; Streptophyta; Magnoliopsida; Lamiales; Oleaceae. The record is from RNAcentral.
GAAAGGGACAGGAACAAUAAACUAGGGAAACUAACUUUCAGCAGUUCUUGUCUCCAUCAAACAGAAAUUGAAUUAGAUAUUCUUUAAAUAAGAUCAAACAUUUUGAAAAAUAAAUAAAGGAAGACAAUGUGCAAAUUCAAAAUGUAUCCCCUAGUUAUGAUUGCAUAUUCAUUUCCCUUGCAUUAGUCUUUGGAACCAUACAAAGGGGAAGGAUUUUCCAGGGUUUUGGUCGGUGAUAUCCAAGAUUUGAAUGGGAUUUACAUAAUGGAACAAAUACUUUUGGAACUUGCUCCAAAAUUGAAAAGGAAUUAUAAUCCCAACUAAGAUGUAAAUUAGGAAGGCUUGUUUAAAACAAUAUUUUAAACAGAAAUAGAGAAAAAGUAAUCACUUGAUUUCCCUUGAGGACACCUAUAGCAAGGUUUCCAUUCAAUAAUUCUGCUAAGUCUCCGCAUCUCUGGCCUCAGUCUUUGUGCAUCAGAACACUCCAGAACACAUAUUGGUACCACCGUAAAUACCAUGCAGUGCAGGACAGUCUCCAUCCAUUCGCAACUUAAUGUCAUUUUCACACGGUUUUCCAUAUUGUGUUAAAGUACUCUCUCGCUCAACGCUUUUGUCAGAAUAUUAAUCACUUUCUUCAGACCAUUCCUCUUCAGUUUUCACCCUUGCGUAUGCCCUGUUACCUCUCAUGAUGGUCGAUAGCUCUUGUAUCGAACAAGAAGUGCUUCUUUCCAUCUUUUCUGCUAAUAUAUCUGUAAUCUCGGCCAAUCCCAUCCCUACAAGUUUGUUCUUCAACAACUCACAUGUUGUAGUGUAUGGUGGGAUCCCUCCGUCAAUCAUCAUUUCAAAGUAUUUACACGCUUCUUCGAGUUUCCCUUUCUUCUUACAAAGACCAUGAAUCAUGACAGCAUAUGUCGAAACUGAAGGAUAAAAUCCUCUCUCUUCCAUGUAAUCCCAAACUUUCUCAACUCUAUCAAACCUUCCUAUUCUGAUGAGCAUUUUAAGCACCAUAUUAUAUGUAUGCCUGUCGGGUUGGCAAGCAUCUUGUUCCAUUCUUGAAAUUAGCCUUAGUGCCUUAUUAACUUCGUUAUGGUCACAAUGAAAAGCCAAAAUAGUAUUAUAACUCCAAGUAUCCGGACUAACCCUUCUCUCAAUCAUCUCAUCUAGAAGCUCGUAAGCUUCAUCCACCUUAUCAUUCGUACAAAGCUUCUUGAUAACACAGUUGUAAGUAAACACAUUAGGGACAAGAUCAUACUUUCUCAUAGAAUCGAGGACCCUAAAGGCUGAGUGAAGAUUAUUUGCUUCACACGAAGCACGAAUAAAUAUUGAGUAUGUGUAUGCAUCUGGUUCUAGCCCCUUAUGCCUCAUCCCUUGGAACAAUUCGUACGCCUCAUUUACCUUCUGUCCCUUACAUAAAGAGUCCAACAUACUAUUCCAAGCAAGUAAAUCCACUCCACACCCUCUCUCGAGCAUUUCAUCAAAUAGCCUCUGACCGUUACUUGACUCUCCAAUCUCACCCCAACCCCUAAUCAAAAUGCUAUAAGAUUUCACUGUCAGGGUAAAAUGGCCUUUAACUCUGUCGAAAAAAUCCUGGGCAUGCUUCACAUGCUUCUUUUUGCACAGUAUAAACAAAAGCUGAUCCAGAUCAUCUACACAAGGCCUAAUUCCAAAAUCAGACAUCUUAUUGAAAGCCCUUAUAGCAUCAGCAGGUAAAUUAGCCCUACUAUAAGCCCUAAAAACAACCCAGAAUAUUUCUUGGCUUAUAUAAAAAGAUUCAGCCCUUUUCAUCUCUACUAAAAAAUCCCAAAGCAAUGGGAAUUGUCUGCUGCUUCCCAAGAUAUCUACAAGAAUAUGAUGAGCUUCUCUACUAUGCUCAAACCCCGGAAUUUUCUGAGCCCAAUGGAAGAAUCUUUGCGCAGAAAAUCCAAGAUUUUUACAUCUCUUCAAUACUUGUUCGACCAAAUUUGCAUUGAUUUCCGAAACAAAUGGGGUGAGAGCUGAAUCAAGGUCGUGGCCUGGGCUUCUGUAGUCACUGAGAACGCGGGAAAGUUCAUUGACAAGGUUCUGUGUAGAAGAAUCAGUUAAGACUUGGUGGGGUUGAAUUGAAAGUGAUUGAGAUGAAAAUGGCAUGGAAUUUUGGCGGUGAUUUACGGGGAGAUUGAGAAAACUGCGGGUGGUUUCGAAACUAUUGUAGGGUUGAAUUUGAAAGAGGAGAUGGUGGAGGAACGAUUGGAAGAAAUUAUAGGUGGGUCUGGCCCGAUUGGAGAGUGACAUAAUCGCCAUUUAUGAAGCGGAAUUGAGCAAAUCAAUCUGCGGCUUAAGGGGGCAAAUAGUUUAGAGUCCGAGGGGCGAAGAAAGGCAGUGCUGCUGGACAGGAUUGUAA